RNAcentral lists this ribosomal RNA (446 nucleotides) under uncultured bacterium. Its description in RNAcentral is "SSU rRNA". It matches the Rfam family "Bacterial small subunit ribosomal RNA", at positions 26 to 518 of the family's 1533-position model. The record is from RNAcentral.
AGAGCGAACGCUGGCGGCAGGCUUAACACAUGCAAGUCGAGCGGGCGUAGCAAUACGUCAGCGGCAGACGGGUGAGUAACGCGUGGGAACGUACCUUUUGGUUCGGAACAACCCAGGGAAACUUGGGCUAAUACCGGAUAAGCCCUUACGGGGAAAGAUUUAUCGCCGAAAGAUCGGCCCGCGUCUGAUUAGCUAGUUGGUGAGGUAAUGGCUCACCAAGGCGACGAUCAGUAGCUGGUCUGAGAGGAUGAUCAGCCACAUUGGGACUGAGACACGGCCCAAACUCCUACGGGAGGCAGCAGUGGGGAAUAUGGACAAUGGGCGCAAGCCUGAUCCGGCCAUGCCGCGUGAGUGAUGAAGGCCCUAGGGUUGUAAAGCUCUUUGUGCGGGAAGAUAAUGACGGUACCGCAAGAAUAAGCCCCGGCUAACUUCGCGCCAGCAGCCGC